This 934-nucleotide ribosomal RNA is filed under the name uncultured bacterium. Its description in RNAcentral is "bacterial SSU rRNA". It matches the Rfam family "Bacterial small subunit ribosomal RNA", at positions 8 to 916 of the family's 1533-position model. The record is from RNAcentral.
AGAGUUUGAUCAUGGCUCAGAACGAACGCUGGCGGCGUGCCUAACACAUGCAAGUCGUACGAGAAAUCCUGGGCAACCGGGAGAGUAAAGUGGCGCACGGGUGAGCAACGCGUGGGUAACCUACCCUUGAAUUGGGGAUAACUCCUCGAAAGGGGAGUUAAUACCGAAUAAUAUUCCGAUUUCCACGGGAGCCGGAAUCAAAGGUGGCCUCUGCAUGCAAGCUAUCAUUUAAGGAUGGGCCCGCGUACCAUUAGCUCGUUGGUAGGGUAAUGGCCUACCAAGGCAACGAUGGUUAGCUGGUCUGAGAGGAUGGCCAGCCACACUGGAACUGAGACACGGUCCAGACUCCUACGGGAGGCAGCAGUGGGGAAUCUUGCGCAAUGGGGGAAACCCUGACGCAGCAACGCCGCGUGGGUGAUGAAGGCCUUCGGGUCGUAAAGCCCUGUCAGGUGGGAAGAAACUCGUGGAUGCUAAUAUCAUCCGCGCUUGACGGUACCACCGGAGGAAGCACCGGCUAACUCCGUGCCAGCAGCCGCGGUAAUACGGAGGGUGCAAGCGUUGUUCGGAAUUAUUGGGCGUAAAGCGCGUGUAGGUGGUCGGGUAAGUCAGAUGUGAAAACCUUCUGCUUAACAGAAGAAGUGCAUUUGAGACUGCUCGGCUAGAGUACGGGAGAGGAGAGUGGAAUUCCCGGUGUAGAGGUGAAAUUCGUAGAUAUCGGGAGGAACACCAGUGGCGAAAGCGGCUCUCUGGUCCGAUACUGACGCUGAGACGCGAAAGCGUGGGGAGCAAACAGGAUUAGAUACCCUGGUAGUCCACGCCGUAAACGAUGGGCACUAGGUGUAGGAGGUAUUGACCCCUUCUGUGCCGAAGCUAACGCAUUAAGUGCCCCGCCUGGGGAGUACGGCCGCAAGGCUAAACUUAAAUGAAUUGACGG